AUGCGGCCAAUCCAAACGCAGCCCCGGCCGUCAUGUCCAGCAUGCGGUGGCCAGCGCGCGGCUGCGGAUGCGCUCACACGUGGCGGCCAGCACGCACAGCACGCGGCUGCACGGAUGGGAGGAGGACGCCGCGGGGAGCCUCGCGGAGCACGGAGCAGGUCGCAUCUGGCGGUGGUGGUGGGCGGAGCAGGAGCAGCAGCAACGGCGCGUGCGCGAGCUCUGGCCCCAGAGCAUCGACGGCGCCAUGCGUGCACGAGCUCCGACCCCGGCAUGGCGCGUGUGCGAGCUCGUGGUCGUCGUGGUCUUCUGUGUGGCUGCAGGUGGGGUCUUUCGUUCAAUGUGGAUGAGCACUGCCCGGGCGUGACCAGUCAGCCUCAUAUUGUCCAUGUAUUUUAG
This 396-nucleotide ribosomal RNA is filed under the name Triticum aestivum (bread wheat). RNAcentral's name for it is "partial small subunit ribosomal RNA". Lineage: Eukaryota; Viridiplantae; Streptophyta; Magnoliopsida; Poales; Poaceae. The record is from RNAcentral.